AAGUCGUAACAAGGUCUCCGUUGGUGAACCAGCGGAGGGAUCAUUACUGAGUGUAAAAACUCCCAAACCCCUGUGAACAUACCAUCUGUUGCUUCGGCGGGAUCGCCCCGGGCGCCUUUGCGUGCCCCGGAUCCAGGCGCCCGCCGGAGGACUCCAAACUCUUGUUUUAUAUGUGGCAUUAUCUGAGUGGCUUAUAGCAAAAUAAAUCAAAACUUUCAACAAUGGAUCUCUUGGCUCUGGCAUCGAUGAAGAACGCAGCGAAAUGCGAUAAGUAAUGCGAAUUGCAGAAUUCAGUGAAUCAUCGAAUCUUUGAACGCACAUUGCGCCCCUUGGUAUUCCAUGGGGCAUGCCUGUUCGAGCGUCAUUUGUACCUUCAAGCUCUGCUUGGUGUUGGGUGUUUGUCUCGCCUUUGCGUGUAGACUCGCCUCAAAACGAUUGGCAGCCGGCGUAUUGAUUUCGGAGCGCAGUACAUCUCGCGCUUUGCACUCAUAACGACGACGUCCAAAAAGUACAUUUUUACACUCUUGACCUCGGAUCAGGUAGGGAUACCCGCUGAACUUAA
RNAcentral lists this ribosomal RNA (562 nucleotides) under uncultured fungus. Its description in RNAcentral is "eukaryotic LSU rRNA". The stretch from base 211 to 364 matches the Rfam family "5.8S ribosomal RNA". Lineage: Eukaryota; Fungi. The record is from RNAcentral.